This 349-nucleotide unclassified non-coding RNA is filed under the name soil metagenome. RNAcentral describes it as "partial contains 5.8S ribosomal RNA, internal transcribed spacer 2, and large subunit ribosomal RNA". The stretch from base 6 to 121 matches the Rfam family "5.8S ribosomal RNA", at positions 39 to 154 of the family's 154-position model. The record is from RNAcentral.
GAUGAAAGAACGCAGCGAAACGCGAUAAGUAAUGUGAAUUGCAGAAUUCAGUGAAUCAUCGAAUCUUUGAACGCACAUUGCGCCCGCCAGUAUUCUGGCGGGCAUGCCUGUCUGAGCGUCAUUUCAACCCUCAUGCCCCUAGGGCGUGGUGUUGGGGAUCGGCCAAAGCCCGCGAGGGACGGCCGGCCCCUAAAUCUAGUGGCGGACCCGUCGUGGCCUCCUCUGCGAAGUAGUGAUAUUCCGCAUCGGAGAGCGAUGAGCCCCUGCCGUUAAACCCCCAACUUUCCAAGGUUGACCUCAGAUCAGGUAGGAAUACCCGCUGAACUUAAGCAUAUCAAUAAGCGGAGGA